CAGGAACUUUGAAAGCGCUCUCAUCAGCCAGCUCUGCAACCUCUAUGGCACCCAAAAGACACGUACCACCCCCUAUCACCCUGAAGGAAAUGGUCAGUGUGAACGCUUUAACAGGACGCUCCACGACCUGCUAAGAACUCUGCCCCUCGAGAAGAAACGGAACUGGUCCAAAUACCUCCCACAAGUCACAUUCGCCUACAAUACUACCAUCCAUCAGUCCACCGGUGAGUCUCCACAUCUCCUUAUGUUUGGGCAGGAACCGUAUCUUCCCAUCGACUUCCUCCUUGGCCGGGUUCCCGAGGCCAGUGAGGGUAGAGUGGAGGACUGGGUUCAGGAGCACCGGAAGAGACUACAGGUGGCGUUUGAGGGGGCACAACAACGGCUGAAAGCGGCAGCGGCCCGCCGGAAGGAGCGGCAUGAUGCUGGGGUAAAAUCCUCUGAUCUACAAGAGAAGCAGUUUGUAUAUCUCCACGACCACAGCAGACGGGGCCGCUCGAAGAUCCAGGAUGUGUGGAGCCCAGAAAUCCAUGUGGUGGUGCAAGCCCCAAGUUCUGGUGGACCAGUCUACUCUGUGGCACCCAUUGGAAACCCCCAGAGGGUAAGAACUGUUCAUCGCUCCAUGUUGAAACCUGUGCCCGACCACCUCUGCCCUCAGAGCCCAAACACGCAGCCUCCCGAGGUCCAGCGCGAGACGGAGGAGAAUGAGGAAGAGAGUUUCUAUGUGGUCACCAGGCCACCCCUUGGAGAGGCAACCACUUCCACUGAGCCCUUACAAGCAGGUACCCCCCUUCAUUCUAAUAACCCGCCUGUCUCUGAGCCCUCAGGAGGUUCUUCAAGUCAGCCUCCGCAUCAGCUCCCAGAAGGCCCUAGGAGGACAACCCGGGCCACAGCGGGUCAGCACCCGAACAGGCACCAUCUCCCUGUCACGGCAUCUCAUAGGUCAGGUGGGGCUGCUGCCUCCCGGGUCAGUGGUGCCAGUAGUAUGGUGAGUGCUUAUUUUAGGCCCUGGGACUAGCCAUGGCAUCACCGGGACGGUGAUGACAAACUGGGGAC
RNAcentral lists this long non-coding RNA (1053 nucleotides) under Gouania willdenowi (blunt-snouted clingfish). RNAcentral describes it as "lncRNA (ENSGWIG00000001620.1)". Lineage: Eukaryota; Metazoa; Chordata; Actinopteri; Blenniiformes; Gobiesocidae. The record is from RNAcentral.